RNAcentral lists this ribosomal RNA (429 nucleotides) under Bacteroidota bacterium. RNAcentral describes it as "Bacteroidetes bacterium partial 16S ribosomal RNA". It matches the Rfam family "Bacterial small subunit ribosomal RNA", at positions 355 to 776 of the family's 1533-position model. Lineage: Bacteria; Pseudomonadati; Bacteroidota. The record is from RNAcentral.
UAGGGAAUCUUCCGCAAUGGACGCAAGUCUGACGGAGCAACGCCGCGUGAGUGAAGAAGGAUUUCGGUUCGUAAAACUCUGUUGUUAGAGAAGAACAGCGCAUAGAGUAACUGUUAUGCGUGUGACGGUAUCUAACCAGAAAGCCACGGCUAACUACGUGCCAGCAGCCGCGGUAAUACGUAGGUGGCAAGCGUUGUCCGGAUUUAUUGGGCGUAAAGCGAGCGCAGGCGGUCAAUUAAGUCUGAUGUGAAAGCCCCCGGCUCAACCGGGGAGGGUCAUUGGAAACUGGUUGACUUGAGUGCAGAAGAGGAGAGUGGAAUUCCAUGUGUAGCGGUGAAAUGCGUAGAUAUAUGGAGGAACACCAGUGGCGAAGGCGACUUUCUGGUCUGUAACUGACGCGGAUGUGCGAAAGCGUGGGGAUCAAACAGG